GUCAGGCCCCAAAGCUCUAUCUCUUAAUCUUCGUUCACCAUCGCAUGUGCUACGUCACUUCGUUCACCAAAUAGGAUGACUACAGCAGUAAGCGCCGCAAAUAGCAUUAUUCCAGCACAAAAUAGAAAGUGAGCUCAACUUCCACUUACUUAUGCUUCCAAUUAUUUGUUAAUUGGCUUAACUUAAGUAAUUACAUGUAGGCUGCCUUUGUUUACUUUUAUAUGAUUAGGGAAUAAGAUUAUAUGAUAUAAGAUUAAGAGAGAUUGGAGUUCUGCACUAUGUUGUAUUUCAAAAAAAUUAGUUAAAAAGAAAUGUGAAGUUACUCAUAUGUAACUUUUUCUGCAAACGUAAAUUAGAAAACUUAAUUUUCUUUUACAUUAGAUAAAAAUUAUUUUAAAGUAAUCCUCGGCAACCCUUAAUUUCCUGACAAAUGAUUGUCAAUUUGUCGUGUUUCCAUCAUAUGGACAAUUGGAUAAUUGAAUUAAGUCCCAGCAAGAUUAGUACAUGAUUGAAUUAUUUCCCCCUUCCCCCCCUCUCUGUGCGGAAUUACAUCCAUUAGUACUUGAGUUUCUAAUGAGUGUAUAUAGACGAUGGUAAGGAAGUUAAAAACAAGUGAUAAUGCAUGCAUAUAAAUUUCCUACGUCAUCGAAACCCUGAAUUUUACAAUUCUUCAAAGUUGUCCAUGGUUACUUUUAAGAGCUAAUCUUUGCUUGAUGCAAAUAUACCAAGUCUUGUUAUAUCAUCGAGCUGUUUAUCGUGUGUUGUAGAUUUUAUUUUUGAAAGUGUACGGAUCGUAACAAGUAGUAAAUAGUUCAGAUUGUCGAUCCCACGAGGACUACAUUCUAGCACUUAAUUCAAAUUUUCUUUAACCACUAUUUGAUGAGAUAAAAACUCGUAAAAUUUGAGAUUUAAAUAAAAAUACGAGAAAAUAAGUGAAUGCACGAUUAGUUGGAAAAUCAAAUAAUGAAUGGACGUUAGACAGAAUAAUUUCACAUAUUGGUCACCUUUACAUCUUAAAUCAAAAUUCACAUCUAAUGUAGUGUUAGGUCGAAUUCUUCUAUUGUAUUCAAUUUACCCUUCUCGAGUUCUCAUUGAGUCUAUUUAACUAAUUAAAUUACAUAUCUCUAUGCAAAUCCAACUUAGUUAAACGAGUUCUUUGUCCUAGGAAUUCAAUUAUGAUCACAAUAAUUGGUAUAUGUAUCUCUACUCGUUAUACCAAUUUACCGAAUUUUACUAUAUGGCCUAAAUCUUAAACCCAUAUUUCUAUUCAUAAAGGAUUUACAAAAUUCAUCAAAUUAGUGAUCUAAUAAUUUAAUGCAUCCAAUCCAUAGCAAAAUCAACACAUCUUAAUAAAAAAAAAUGAAGGAUCUCAACUGAUUACAUUAUUCACCAUAAAAAUGAUUUAGCUAGUCAUAAUGAAAAAAAGAAAAAUCGUAAGUUGUCAUAGAAUACAUCAUUAGAUUUUGUAUUACAUGUGUAGAAGAAAAAGUAGAUCUUGCCCCAAGAAUUUCUUCUUUUUCCAAUCGAUGCUUUACACCUUGAAUUUCUCGAUGUUUUCUCCCUUGAAUUUCUCCUUUGGUUCUCCAAUUCUGUUCUAUUGUCUCUCAAUGUGUGAAUACCCCUCAAUUCUCUUCUCUAAGGUUGUAUUUAUGACUUAUUCAAGACUUAGAAGAGUUUUAUUGAGUUGGGCUUUUAAAAAGAUGAAUUUCACUUCAAAACCCUAUUUGACGGUAGUGAGGUGCUUAGAAACUGCAAUUGGGCCCCUGAGCGUUGAAUUCCAGAGAAAAAUCAGAAACAUAGUGCUUGGGUGUUGUCAUCAACUUUGAUUGUACUACACAACAUUCAAUCUUUUUGCCAUAACAUUUUUUUUGAUAUCCGAUUGAGGCGAUUCAAGAUGCGUUGAAAAUCUAACUCAAAGGGCUACAACUUUUCUUUAGAUACCAUUUUCAAAUUCAAUCAUUUACCAUGUCAAAAAUCGGUAUAAAUAUGAGUAUGAAAACUGUGCAUAUAUUUUUUCGGUUGAAACUUGAUGUGUAAUCAUACUUUGAUUAUAUUUCAUCAUUUUGAUGUCUUUCUUUAUCCAAUCGACUUCGAGCACUCUUAAAUCUUCAUUGUGAGGUCUAACAUAACUUUUGAGUAUUUACAUUUUGGCCCCCCAAACUUUGGAUCUUACUCUUCUUCCGAGUUUCUUGUACCAUCAUUGAAUUUUACCUAUUUAACAUCAAAUGCAACAAUUUAGACCAUAAUUCAUCCGAGAAGUAACUAAAUAUCAUCGUUUUAAGGUCUUAAAUAAGUGUAUAAAAUACACGUAUCAAAUACCCAAAAACUUAAACAUUUGUUUAAAACUAUCAUAUAAAUAACUAAGAACACACAAGCAUGCAAAAUAUAAUUAGUUCGACAAUCAAAGUUUUUUACCUCAGAAUUCGAGAUUUUGAUGUUUAUUCUACAAACAUGCUUCAUGUCACAAUACAAAAUAAAUAUCUACUCUUCCAAUGCAAACCCAGUGUGCGUGUGUGUGAAGAAUUAAGUAAUCCAUCAUGACUACACAAGUUGUUUCAACUCUCGAUCCUCUGCAGUUAUAUAUCCUUACAUUUCUCGUGUGAUUCACACACCCCGAAAUUUAUUCUUUUUUUUUUUUUAUCAUUCCUAGUGUGUAAUAUAAGGUGAAUAUUUCAUUGCUAUCCUCAUCCUCAGCUUCAUCUUUGAUUGCCUUCUAAAUUAUCCUUGUAGCGAGCUUUAGGCUGAUGACUCCCAAGUCAAAUGACUUUAAGGCACCAUGUUUUAAGAUACCCUUACAGGCUUAAUUACUCGAGUCAUGAAGAUUUCAAAGAAAAGUUUUUAGAUUUCAAAUGUAUAUGCAUUGAUUAGUGCGAUGCCUCUAUCACAUACUUAUUCAAACAAAUUGACAUUCAACUUAAGACUUUUGCCUUGUUUUAUCAUGUUAGUCUAAGACAGUCCACACAUAAGUUUUCGCACAUAGAAUCCAAAUUCACAUCUGUAUAUUCCUACAACUGUAAAGUCACCCCCAAACUAUACUAACUUUGGUCUAAGGAUAAAUAAUUUACAAUGGUUUAGAUAAAGCAUCUAUGUCCAAUUAAAUCAACAUAUUUAACAAAUGAAUCAACUCGUUUCAUCAUAACGUCAAACUCAAUUCUAGUGCACAUAUAGUAUCAAUUUUUGUAAGAUUAGGUUUCAAUCAAUCUAGCACGCAUCAUAUCCACAGUUCAUAAAUCAACAGCAAAUCUCAAAGUAAAUCAUCAUUGUCAGCCAUAUUGUCCAACUCACACAAAAAUCUAGGUAAGCAAUUAAUAAUGUACCCCCCAAACUUAAGCUAAACACUGUCCUCAAUAUGAAAUUUAAAGGAAAAUGAGGAGGCUUCCUUGAAAUGUCAGUAUUACCUAUAAUGUUGUGGUGCCUUGGUGUUGAAUUUAAUCAACUUUUCUUCCAUAUUCUCCACCAAACUUGAGAUUUAUCCCGGGUUCUCCUUAUCAAUAGUGGUUUAAGUGUUUUGCGAUGUCAUGUCCUUGGAAAAUCAAUUUUGAAAUAUUAGAUGCAUGGAACAAGAUUUACUUAGCUCAAAUAUCUAAUAACCAACUUAGUUACUUAAUGACCUAAGGGUAAAAGGGAUAUGGGCGAUGACUCCUAAAUAGACUAAUAAAUAAAUUAAAAUAUCUUAUAACUUGAAAAUAAAAUAAAUAAAAGAAGAAAGCUUAAGUUGCCUCCCAAUAAGUGCUUCUUUAAAGUCAUUAGCUUGACUUUUGCACAAGUGAUUCAUGGCACUUUGAAUAUGGUUUUGAAGGUUCUGCUUAGCUUGCUUAAUUUGAUUUUAGUCCAUAUUUCACACAUCCUCCAAAAUCGUGCUUUGUUAUUUUAAAUAUGAUAUGACUUGCUUGAAUUGCUCAAUUCGAACUCAACUAAGAAUGCUUCAAUUUUUUCAUCAACUUUAAUCACAAAAUCAAUGAAGUUGGAGGUUUGCAUGCUAAUCACAUCUUCUUUGAAUGCGACUAAUUCAUUUGGAUCCUUCGUGAUUAAUUUAUUCGUUUCUACAUGUUCUUCUUCUUUAGUUGAUUCCUCAGGUUAAGUAAUGAAGAGAUCUUCCGUUGGCAUAUUACUUGGCUUUUCCGAAAUUAUUUGAUCUUCAAUUCUUUCAUCUUUGUCCAUGAUGAUGUCUCCCGUAAUCAUUUCACUGUAAUCAGAUUAUUCUUCAUAUGGAUAAUCAAAGAUAUAUUUCCUCACUUCCAUUGGAGUUGCCAAUAACAAGCAAUCUUUAGCAUAAUGAAUUGCACCACAAUAUUCACAAGUCGGUCUAAUCUCCCCAUAAACAAUAGAUUUGAUAUUUAAUCCUUUAAGGAAGCCAUCCUUAUCAAAUUCAAUAGGCUGAUUGUAUCCAUACCUUUUAAGUUCUUGUCUAAAGAGAACUUCUCCAAAGAGCAUUUCACAUUCAUUUAAGUCGGGAUCAAUUAUUGUGAAUUUUUUUGACAUCUUGUUGCUUUUUAUUCCUUAUCAAAGGAGGAAAGAAAAAUAAAUAGAUCAAUUGAAAAAAUUAAGAAAGACAAAAAAAUCAAAUAAAAGCAAGAAAUAAUUAAAAUCAAUAUUAAAUAAAAAUAGUCUCCUGCAACGACGCCAAAAACUUGUUGUCAAUUUUGUAUCCCGCAAGCAUACGGAUCGUAACAAGUAAUCGUUCCCACAAGGACUACUAUUUAACAAUUGGUUCAAUUAUUCCUAACUUUAAUUUGAUUGAAAACAAACGAAGAAUUAGAUGUUGUGAUUUUUGAUACAACUAUUUGAAAAUAUGUGUGGAUGCACACAAAGAGUGAUUUAAAACUUAAAUAGUGAACAAAUAUUAGGGUAGAAUAAUUUCACCAAUUGGUCACAUUUACAUCUUAAAUUAAGAUUCACAUCUAAUGUAGUCUUUGGUCGAAUUCUCCUAUUAUAUUCAUUUUACCCCUCACGAGUUCUUAUUGAACUUAUUUAACUAAUUAAAUUUCAUAUCUAUAUGCAAAUCCAACUUAGUUGAUUCUUUGUCCUAGGAAUUCAACCGCAAUAAUUAGUAUAGGUAUGUCUACACAAUAUACCAAUUUAUCGAAUUUUACUAUAUCCCUAAUUGUAAAGGAUUCAUGAAAUCAUCAAAUUAGUGAUCAAAUAAUUUAAUGUAUUCAAUCCAUAGUAAAAUCAACACAUGAAAAAAUUAAAAAUCAAGAAUCUUAAUAAAAAAAUAUAAAGGAUCCCAAUUGGUUACAUUAUUCACCAUAACAAUAGAUUUAGCUAGUCAUAAUGAAAAAUGAAAGAUCUACAAAUUGCCAUAGAAUAUAUCAUUGGAUUUUGUAUCAAAUGUGUAGAAAAAGAGUAGAUCUUGCACCAAGAAUUUCUUCAUCUUCAAUUGAUGCUUUACAUUCUGAAUUUCUCGAUGUUUUCUCCCUUGAAUUCAUCCUUUGAUUCUCCAAUUGUGUUCUCUUACCUCUCAAUGUGUGAAUUCCCCCUCAAUUCCCUUGUCUGAAGUUGUAUUUAUGUCUUACUCCAACCUUAGAAGAGUUUUAAUUGAGUUGGGCGUUUAGAAAGAUUAAUUUCACUUGAAAAUCCUAUUCGACGGCAGCAAGGCUCCUAGGCCCUGUGAUUGGGUGCCUGAGCUUUGACCUUCAGAAGAAAAAUCAAAAGCAUAGCGCUUGAGCGUUGUCGUCAGUUUUGAUUGCACUACAUAGUAUACAAUCUUUUUAUCAUAAUUUUUUCUUUCAAUGUUCAAUUGAGGCGAUUCAAGAUGUGUUGGAAAGCUAACUCAAAGGGUUACAACAUUUUUUCAGGUAUCAUUUUCAAAUUCGAUCAUUUGCUAUGUCAAAAUUAGGUCUCAAUAUGAGUAUGAAAACUUUACAUAAUUUUUUUGGUUGGAACUUAAUGUGUGAUUAUACUUUGAUUAUAUUUCAUCUCUUUGAUGUCCUUCUUUAUCCAAUUGACCCUGAGCACUCUUGAAUCUUCAUCGUGAGGUCCAACAGAACUUUUGAGUAUUUACAUUUUGGUCCCCGAAAUUUGGAUCUUACUAUUCUUCCGAGUUUCUUGUACCAUUAUUGAAUUUUACCUAUUUAACACCAAAUGCAGCAAUUUGGAGCAUAGUUCAUCCAAGAAGUAACUAAAUAUUAUCGUUUUAAGGUCUUGAAUAAGUAUAUAAAAUACUUUUAUCAUCGUGUAUCCUAUAUACAAUCUCAAUAAUGAGACAAAAAAAUCUAUCUUUAAAGAUAUGUUAAGAAAUUUAGACGUAAAUAUGGAAUUAACACAAUAACAAACAACAUGUCACUUUUAUUGUCUCUCGGUGACUAAGGUAAUUAAUCAAAUCAAUGUUGGUAUUUGGUUUAAAGAUUGAAAAUUUUAGUUAAGUACAAACUUGAAAAUGUUUUUGUGUUGAGUUCAACCAAAUAUUCGGACUUGAUUAGAUAAUCAAAUUAUAAAAAUAAAUAGACUAAAUUGUUCUACUCUUCUAGUAUAUAGUCGUAGUAUAUUUAAAAUCUCAACCAAUUUCCCAUGAAUGAGAAAUUGUGGUCAAAAUUUGAAAGAAAAAAAGAGGAAAAAUUAUAUAGCACUAUCGCUGGAAUAGUAGGCUAGCACCAAGUGAGCUGCAAAGCUAUCACUCAAGCUACAAGCUAGCAAUAGACAGUAUUUCUAUUGAAAAUAUGGCCCUGGCACUCGAGCGAGAGGCUAACGACAACAAGGUAUGCAUACCUUCUUGAAGGUUACUGAAUUUUAGGGCAUGUUUCUUCACACAACCUCUUCUCUUCUAUAAAUAGGACACUUUGGCCAUCCAUUAUGCAUCCAAUAUCAUUUUGCAUUAAGCAUUAAAUCAAAAAUGUCUUGCAAAACCUCUUCAAAAAUCAUUCCAAAAUUAAUUUCUUGUAGAGAGAAAAAAUUUUGUUCGAGUCCGAUGUUGCUUAUGGUUUUAAAUGCUUCCACCACAAGUAAUAUCCGUUUUAUUUUGGGAGACAAGUGCUUUAAUCUGUUAACACCAUUGUGGGACAAUUUUAUCUUAAGGAAAAAGUGUUAAUCACUUGCCUUGAAUUUUGUUUCCUCACUUUCAUUUCAUUGCAAGGUUACAUAGAGUUUAAUUGCACUCCUGAGAAUUAAAUUUAACAAGUAUUUUGUAUAUGGACAAACAACCAUUUCCCUACACAUCUUCCCAACAAUCUUAAGACAAAUAUUUUGUGAUUUUUUGUUGAAAAAAAACCCUUUCUUCAUCUUUUAAUCAACCUUCCAUUUCCUUUUGUUUUCUUUUUUGUGCAUUGAACUUCUAUUUAUGUAAUCUAAAUAAAUACCGUUGAAACUAUUUUGAGUCAAGCAAUGAAUGAUACAAAUCAUGUUCCGCCUUUGACUAUACUAGUAUCAAACUCUCAUAUCCCAUAUGAGGAAAUAUCGAAAAAGUUUAGAGGUGUUGAUUUCAAAAAAUAGUAAUAAAAGAUGUUGUUCUAUCUUACUACUUUGAAUUUAUCAAAGUUCUUAAAAGAGACCACUACUAUAAUACAAGAGGGAAAAAAUAAUCGUGAGUCAAUUAUUAAAUUGGAUACUUGGGAACACUCGGAUUUCCUUUAUGAAAACUAAAUUCUAAAUGAAUUGGACAAUACACUUUAUGGAGUGUACAGUUCGAAGGACUUGGUCAAGGAUUUAUGGGAGUUAUUGAAGAAGAAAUACAAAAUUGAAGAUGCCGAGACAAAGAAGUUCAUUUUCAGCAAGUAUUUUGUAACGGCUCGGAAAAUUUUAUAGAAUGAAAUUUAUUUGUUUAUACGUUAUAUUUAGAAACGUUGGGGACUAAAAUGAAAUAGGUUUUAAACUCCUAUUUUAUUUAUGUCAAAUAAUUAGAUAUUGAUGGAACGAGAUUUAAUAUAUCAAUAUUGGACUCAUUUCGUAGGUCGUAAUUAAUUAGAAGUCUUCUACUUGAGAAAAACUAAUUUGGAUAUGUUAAGCCUAAGAAAUUGAAGUUUAAAGAAAUUAUCAUUUAUUAGUAUUUUAUUUAAAUUGGAAUUUGCAAGAGAGCCAGCCACAUGCAGUGGUAGAUCCAGCACUCGGCGAGCACAGGCGACUGCACUUACUAGAUCCAACGGGAAGUUUUUUGUUGACAAUAGAUAAAAAUUUUAGAUUAUAUAUCUGAUAGUACAUUUUAUUUCUUAACAUGUCUUGUAAUUCAGUUGGUUAGAGCUUCCACAUACAAAUUGAAUGCCCAAGGUUCAAAUGCCUUCUAAACCAUAUUAUUGUGCAAGUUUUCUAUUUUUACAAAUUUUUACCAAAACUGAUGCCAAUAAGGAGAAGAUUCGAUCGACCCUGUGACCUUUCUUUAAGAUUUACAAAACUUGACCUUCAUGGCACUUGUUAAGUUGUGGCAUGAAAUUAACGGAGUAAUAUAUAUUCCAUUUUAGUGGUUUUAAUGCAACAACAAGGAUUCGAAUCUUUGCUCUUCCUUUGAAUUAUACAAGAUAUGGACACUAUGUCAUUUGGUGAAUAUCAUUAUUAUUUAUAACAAAAUUAUAUAUGUUUAGUUUUAGCAAAAUAAUUAUUAUAUUUAAAUUUUAAUAUUUUAUUACGCUCGAUGAUCGAUGACCACCCGUGCUCACUGAAAAUUCUGGAUUUGCCACGUGCCACGUAUAGGUAUGUACAAAUUCUGCUUUUAGAUGUUAGUUGUUGGUCAUGAACAGUUGCGGAUGCAGGUACUGGCCAGCUAGGGCGGCCGCCCUAGUUGGAUUCGUCGAAACCGUCGAUCGUCGGGCGUCUCUCAGUGGUAAGUCUCAGAUGAUAGAUUUUGCCACCCUAGCUGAAUUCCUUUGUUGUUGGUGGUUGUGUUGGCUGUUGGAGUAUUGCUGUGUUGGGCCACAUAUUUUUAAAUCAGGCCCAAAUUAAAAAGCCUAAAUCAGCAUUCACCCAUUAUAGAUCAUAAGGUCUCUUCCAGUCCACUACAAGUACAGCAGAGGACAGACCGACAGAGGCAAUGGAGUCUCCAGCGACAAGCAACACUUUCCCGAAUCAGUCCUAUUUCUGAUUUCCUUCCCGUUAAUUAAAUCGGUAGCAAGAGAGAUCAAAGAAGAGCAAACCCUUCAUGAGUUCUUCCCCCAAUUCCUUCCCGUUAUUUAAUUUUUCUUACAUUAUUUACAUGUUUUCCCCCCAAUUCCUUUCCCAAAAUCACCAUUCAUUCUCCCAUUAUUUACAUUUUUUUUCAUGGCAUAUUUAUUGUUUAAUUAUUGGUUUUUUAGUAGUUUAUUAUGCUCUAUGUUUGAUUUUUAGGGUUUUGAAUUGUUUCGGCUUCGAUUCGAGGCUUACUAUUUGGGGAUUUUGUUACAAAUUAUUGAAAGUUUUUGUAAUGCCAAAGUGAUCCAAUGCUUAUUAUCAACUCAAAUGACUUUUGAAGCCUUAAAGUGAGUUUCAAUUGAAGAUGAAAGUAGAUCAAAGUUUAAUUAUCUAUUUUAUUUCUACGUUCUUUACUACUUUUGGAGCAGAAGUUUUGAAAAGUUUGGUUAACUUAGCCUAAUCGAGUGUUGUUUCCGACAUAAGAGCAUAUCUUAUUACAUGCCACUAGGUCAAACAUUUGAAAAGUACUUGUGAGCUAGUGAAAAGGAGAACAUGUUAAGAUGGAAAAUCUUUUUCGUAUGAACUUGAACUUCUUGAAUUUGGCAGUGGAAUGAAUACAUGUUAUUUAUUAUAAUAGUAUAUCUAUUUAAUGUGUCAUUGAUGAUUUUUACCAAAUUGGGGUGGUCAAUGCUACAACUAAUUGUACUUGCUUGACUUUCUUUGUACGUCUGUCAUUUGAUUCAUUUCUUUCGCAUGAGUUUCGAUGGUUGAUCAUAUCUUGACUUUCUAAUUAAAAUUUCACGUGUAAAUAUCUAGCAUCUUAAAAUGUUAAAUGGGCUAGCCUUAAAUGGCUUUUCAACGAUUGACCACCGACCGAAUCGAGCUUUUAAUAUCGUUGAUUGUUGACGGUCAACGGUCAAAGUCAACCUCCACCCUUGCUGAACAUUGAUGCUGGA
RNAcentral lists this long non-coding RNA (9989 nucleotides) under Olea europaea (common olive). RNAcentral's name for it is "long non-coding RNA (OEUR_LNC011212)". Lineage: Eukaryota; Viridiplantae; Streptophyta; Magnoliopsida; Lamiales; Oleaceae. The record is from RNAcentral.